Molecule: long non-coding RNA, 484 nt
Filed under: Mytilus galloprovincialis (Mediterranean mussel)
Lineage: Eukaryota; Metazoa; Mollusca; Bivalvia; Mytilida; Mytilidae
Source: RNAcentral
UCAGUAAUUCUAUACAAUGUGAUAUAAAACUGAAAAUAAAAUAUUUAAAUAGCAGACGUGUUGAAAUUGCCGAUUUGUACAAAGUCACUUGAAUGUUUUUUUAUAAAUAGCACACAUAGACAAUAUUUAACUUUAACUAUCUCAAUCAGUACAUCUUAACAUAAACACUAGCACUUGCAUAGUUCGAAUUAGUAAUAUAAAUCUCGUUGUCAAAGAUAAAAAAGAAUUAACUAGAAACACAAGUAAUAACAUAAGAAGUGAAAAUAAGAAAAAUAAAACUAUUUUGCAUAUGCAUGUCACGUUUUGCAAUUCAAUCUACCACCAAAAAAAAUCACUUGUAUGAAGUAAAUGUGUGUGAAAUAAACAUUUUCAUAGAUUAUUUACAUGUAACGUUAGCCUUAAUUUACAAGCUUUUGAGGGGAAUAAGCUAUACAUUGAGAAAUGGAUAUAGUUUACUCUAAGGUCAAAACUGUAAGUAAUUAUU